UUAGUGUUGAAGCCUGUCUCCUAUUAGAGCAUACUGUAAAGAUACCCCCCACCCCGUGUUGCCCCCACUUCCAAAGUGAAAAUUACGUCCAUGAGCCCAGUCCCAACACUUGCACUUCGCCCUACGAUCUUCUGCGAAGUGCACUUGGAGGAAGUGCACAAGUGUGCAAAUAAAAGCCGAAUUGAGACGAGGAGCAUUGUGUCAUCGACUAACGCGUGCCACGAUGCUGGUCGCGGUGCCACUUUUUCAAAAACCUUUAAUGACUAAAACAACCAGUUAAUUGAAAUAAAUUUACAUUCAUCGCUGCUUUGCCUAAAACAUUCAGAGCACCAACUAAAUGAACUAUCAUUUAAAAAUGCAUAUUUUCACAAAAGGCAUUUGAGUGGAUCCACUUUUAUUUAUGCAACACAGGUUGCCUAAAACCCCCCCAAGGCGCUUUACAACACAGUAAUUAUGCACAUUUACAUGCUCACGUGUAAACAUGAUGCAUCACUGGGCGUGUGAAGCGUCUGUUUGCUACUGAGACUCCUCCGUAGUAAACACUAGUGAGAGUUUACUGCAGAGUGAACAUAUCGAGCCGCGCCUGAUAGCUUUUCCCACAAUGCAACGCGCGUGUGUCAUGGCUGCUCACUGAUGCCACUGUGGCCACAUGGAUGGAUAAAAACAUUUAGUGUGUGAUAGUGAAGCCGUGACUUGUUUCGGUGACCGAUCAGAUCAGAACUCGGAACCGCUGCCGGUUGGUGUUCGGCCAUGCUCGGAGUCGAGAUCCCGGUGCUCAGGGGCUUCCUGGCUCCCGGAGAGGCGGCGGAGUGGCAGCAGAACAUCAGUACUCUGGCAGGUUUAUCCCACCUGCCCAGUGAGAGCCCAGCUUGUGGGGGGAACCAUCACCUGGAUAUGUGGACCAUAAAGUACCAGGAUCCACCUGUCUAGUGUACCACGAUCUUCAUGUAAAUCAGGUGGUUUUCUAGUUAAACUAAAGACUUCACCAAGAGAACCAUUGUUGUUGGACAGCUCAGAGGUCUAACUGAUCAGCCGUUCAUAAAACACAACCCUAAAACACCAAGUAAGGAUUUAUAAAAGCACUGAAAUGGCUCUGCCCAUUACCAGCUGGUCUGUUCCCUUAAAAUUUUUUGAAUAACUCAACUUAAAGAUGAUGAUUUCAUUCACUGUCACAUGACUGAACAAUUAUAUAUAUAGAUAUAUACACACACACACACACACACACAGUGGGGCAAAAAAGUAUUUAGUCAGCCACCGAUUGUGCAAGUUCUCCCACUUCAAAUGAUGACAGAGGUCAGUAAUUUACAUCAUAGGUACACUUCAACUGUGAGAGACAGAAUGUGAAAAAAAAUCCAUGAAUUCACAUGGCAGGAUUUUUAAAGAAUUUAUUUGUAAAUCAGGGUGGAAAAUAAGUAUUUAAUCAAUAAUAAAAAUUCAACUCAAUACUUUGUAACAUAACCUUCGUUGGCAAUAACAGAGGUCAAACGAUUACUAUAGGUCUUUAUCAGGUUUGCACACACAGUAGCUGGUAUUUUGGCCCAUUCUUCCAUGCAGAUCUUCUCGAGAGCAGUGAUGUUU
Molecule: long non-coding RNA, 1578 nt
Filed under: Nothobranchius furzeri (turquoise killifish)
Lineage: Eukaryota; Metazoa; Chordata; Actinopteri; Cyprinodontiformes; Nothobranchiidae
Description: lncRNA (ENSNFUG00015021598.1)
Source: RNAcentral